Molecule: long non-coding RNA, 2266 nt
Organism: Nothobranchius furzeri (turquoise killifish)
Lineage: Eukaryota; Metazoa; Chordata; Actinopteri; Cyprinodontiformes; Nothobranchiidae
Source: RefSeq, a predicted model, not a curated record
CCCCCCCCCUCCUCUCUCUCCACCUUUUCUCUUCCUUUCUCUUUCACCUCUGUCUCCGUGUCUGGUCGGAAUUACAAAGCAUUCAACAACAAUAACAAUAAACUUUUAAGUAUCAGGCGUGACAUUAGAAGCCAACGCUUUGAUGCUCCACCUGAGAAUAAAUCUGUAAGGCUUGUCACCAGCAUUCAGACAUCAAUUCUGCUUGCUUCACAGCCAGACAGGACACGGUAAAAAAAAAAAGUAUCUUUUGGACAGGUAAGUUAUUUAUUGUUUUUCGGAUAAAUUUACUUAUAAUCUUUCUUUCACUGAAAGAAGUAAUAGAGCAAACAAGCUUUGUAUGCUUUGUGUCCUAUUGGCUAAUGUAGCAUUAGCUUGAAUGCUAAGUCAACAUGAAUCGAUGCUAGUCGAACUAGUUAUGCUAUAUUUGGAAGAAGUUUGAGUAACGAAAGGGGAUUUUAGUUUUUUUUAUAUGGGAGCUAAUGAUUAGUGUGGCGUUUAACUAUAGGCCAUAUCAGUGUAUUGUUUUAAGCUCUUGUUUAUAACUUCCCCGUUAGCGGGGUUCGGUUAGCAUCUUGAAUGCUGAAUUAGAUGUUUACACUUUCCUGAGCUGCGUGUUUGAUUAAAAUGAGUAAUCAGCAGCUCAUGUAGCACUUGUAGAAGUCUGAGGAGAUGAUUCAGCAGAUAGAAUUAGGUGUGAUUGAUGAGGAAUGUAUCCAAAACCUUACGUUUCCAUUAGCACCGAAAGACAUAUUGCACUAACCUGGGUGGGCCACGUGUACAGAUUAUUGUCUGAGUUUGUGGUCUUACCUAUGUGAAAACUCCAUAUUAAAAUAAAAGUAAUGAUAAUCAGCUCGUGCAAAAAUCUGUGAAGGCUGGGGAGAUAUGUUUAGCUUGUGAUCACUAAUUUUUGGGCUUUGUUUUUUACAGUCAUCAGUCCAAAUAUGAAGCAUCAACAUCUACACCAUUGAAACGCCAACUGUUUAUUUCUCCAACACCAGUGCCAGCUCUGUCUAGCAUUCAUGGAGAGUCAUCUGAAAGCUAUGAUAAUUUGGAGGAGGUGAUGGAACAAGGUGAAACUAAGAAACCAUGAUCGUCAACCAACGUUUGACAAGCAAGAAAGGUCUUCCUCGACGCUACAAGCUAAGGCCUGAGUAUCCAAGGCGUUACGGUUUGCUGUCCGGAGUCCCUGCACCAUCAACAGAGGAACUUCUACAACACCUACGGACUUGCGGUGAUGGUAAAACUUUGCCACAGACAUAGGUGUUGGGGGAGGCAAGAGAAAACCCAAAACCUUAUUUAUUUUUGUUUCCUGUGUUUUAUUUAUUUAUUUAUUUUAAAUAAAGAUAUAUUUUGGGGAAAUAAGGACUAAUAAUUUAAAAAUGUAUGCAAAAUGCUGGAGGUAGACAUAAGUUUUUGUUGUUGUGCAGGAGUUUUAAAAUUUAUGGUAUUUUUACAAAUGCAACAGAGAGUUAUGCUUUAGAACACUUUAUUAGAGCAUCAAACAAAAAAAUAUAUAUAAAAAAAACUUAUGUAAAAUAUCAAAUAUAUACAUUUAUUUACAAUCGUCUUGGAAUAAAACCAGUGUAGUUUCCAUUGGGGUCAGGGAAUUUUUCCCUUAUCCUCCAGACAACACAGCUUGGGAUUACUACUCUGCGUCCUCCACCAGGUUUUCCAUGCUGCCAUGCUACAAAUUGUCUGUAAGCUGCAUGGCGGAACUGUCUGUUGUCCUCACCAGGGUCCGGGUCAUCAUAAACUGCUCGAAACUCAUUCCACAAUGUUCUGGCCAGGCGAAGAACACCAUUUUGCAAAAUAGACUCCUCCAUGUGUGGUACAGUUGAAAUACAUGUCUGGGGAGGCUUUUGGCAGCAUUUCUUUUCCAAAUCAGUUGGCAUAUCUCUGCAGUGGGAGCAUACACACCAUGAAGGUUGAUUGGAGGUGUUGUGGCAUUUGGACCAGAGAGGGCAAGUACAUCAAAGAGAACAACAGGGUCUCUGUCCAGCACCAUGGUAAGGAUGUCAAUAGCCUGCUGAGGGUUCAGGUUCUGUAUGUGUUGCUACAAAAGUGGAAAGAGAUGCUACAGCAACAGUUUUUAGGAUAAUUUAGUGUAAUUUUGUUAUGCUUACACGUUCAAAGUCUAUUCGCUCGGAACGAAGAUUCCGAACUCGAGAGAGAUCUUCAUCUCCAAGGUCCACAGCUGAGUGUCUCGCACUUCUUCGGCCUCUGGAUGCACCGCGGCCUUUAGAUGCACCACGGCUUUGAGAUGAUG